UGUACUGUGAUGGCUAACGGGGGGACUAUAUGUUUUUCAGAUCUGGGACACAUUUGAUUUUUGAGAAGAAAUAGAUUAUUCAUUUAGCAAGAAGUACCGGUUGAGUACUGCCAAUACAAAUACUUUUUUGGGCCUGAAAAAUAGUCUUCCAUCUUUAAUGAGGACCUGGCUGAAAAGAAAACCUUGAACCUCAGAAGUUCUUGAAGAUAUGGAAGGAGAGCAAAGUGAUGUGUGUUGUAGAAAACAGAUGCCGCUGAUUUGAAUGAAGGUUCAAGCUGGGGCCUCUUCCUCAUCAGUGACAGAUGCAGCAGUGGUGUCACAGAUGUCUCCCAAAGGCACCGUCUCUCUGUGGAUGCUGCCAGUCUCCAAGACUGAGGAUGGCAACGUCAGCCCUACCGCUGCCCAAGGCCACUGCUGUUUUAUAUUGCUGCCACCA
RNAcentral lists this long non-coding RNA (436 nucleotides) under Macaca fascicularis (crab-eating macaque). RNAcentral describes it as "lncRNA (ENSMFAG00000047939.1)". The record is from RNAcentral. Lineage: Eukaryota; Metazoa; Chordata; Mammalia; Primates; Cercopithecidae.